This 561-nucleotide ribosomal RNA is filed under the name uncultured bacterium. Its description in RNAcentral is "bacterial SSU rRNA". It matches the Rfam family "Bacterial small subunit ribosomal RNA", at positions 338 to 916 of the family's 1533-position model. The record is from RNAcentral.
CCUACGGGAGGCAGCAGUGGGGAAUAUUGGACAAUGGGCGAAAGCCUGAUCCAGCAAUGCCGCGUGAGUGAUGAAGGCCUUAGGGUCGUAAAGCUCUUUUACCAGGGAUGAUAAUGACAGUACCUGGAGAAUAAGCUCCGGCUAACUCCGUGCCAGCAGCCGCGGUAAUACGGAGGGAGCUAGCGUUGUUCGGAAUUACUGGGCGUAAAGCGUACGUAGGCGGUUAUUCAAGUCAGAGGUGAAAGCCCGGGGCUCAACCCCGGAACGGCCUUUGAAACUAGAUAGCUAGAGUCUUGGAGAGGUCAGUGGAAUUCCGAGUGUAGAGGUGAAAUUCGUAGAUAUUCGGAAGAACACCAGUGGCGAAGGCGACUGACUGGACAAGUACUGACGCUGAGGUACGAAAGCGUGGGGAGCAAACAGGAUUAGAUACCCUGGUAGUCCACGCCGUAAACGAUGAUAACUAGCUGUCCGGGUACUUGGUAUCUGGGUGGCGCAGCUAACGCAUUAAGUUAUCCGCCUGGGGAGUACGGUCGCAAGAUUAAAACUCAAAGGAAUUGACGG